GACGAACGCUGGCGGCGUGCUUAACACAUGCAAGUCGAACGGAAAGGCCCUGCCUUUGUGGGGUGCUCGAGUGGCGACCGGGUGAGUAACACGUGAGUACCCUGCCACUGCCUUUGGGAUAACUUCAGACAACUGGGGCUAAUACCGGCUAGGAGCUCUUGCUGCUUGGUGGGGGUUGGAAAGUUUCGGCGGUUGGGGAUGGACUCGCGGACUAUCAGGUUGUUGGUGGGGUAGUGGCAUACCAAGCCUUUGAACGGUAGCCGGGCUGGGAGGGGGACCGGCCACACUGGGACUGGAAUGCGGCACGGACUCCAAUGGGAGGGAGGGGUGGGGUAGGGAGUACUAUAGGAGGGGGGCUGAUGCAGCAAAGCCGCGUGCGGGAUGACAUCCUGCGGGUUGUAUACCGCUGUCGCCUGUGACGAGGCGUGAGUGACGGUAAUGGGUGAAGAAGCACCGGCUAACUACGUG
This 468-nucleotide ribosomal RNA is filed under the name uncultured bacterium. Its description in RNAcentral is "partial 16S ribosomal RNA". It matches the Rfam family "Bacterial small subunit ribosomal RNA", at positions 28 to 507 of the family's 1533-position model. The record is from RNAcentral.